Molecule: ribosomal RNA, 439 nt
Filed under: uncultured bacterium
Lineage: Bacteria
Description: bacterial SSU rRNA
Rfam family: Bacterial small subunit ribosomal RNA
Source: RNAcentral
AACGCGAAGAACCUUACCCAGACUUGACAUACACGAGACAGUCCAAGAAAUUGGAUCUUCCUUCGGGACUCGUGAACAGGUGCUGCAUGGCUGUCGUCAGCUCGUGCCGUGAGGUGUUGGGUUAAGUCCCGCAACGAGCGCAACCCUUAUCAUUAGUUGCCAACAUUUAAGGUGGGAACUCUAAUGAGACUGCCUGGGUUAACCAGGAGGAAGGUGAGGAUGACGUCAAGUCCGCAUGGCCCUUAUGUCUGGGGCUACACACGUGCUACAAUGGUCGGUACAGAAGGCAGCGAAGCCGCGAGGUGAAGCAAAUCCGACAAAACCGACCUCAGUUCAGAUUGUAGUCUGCAACUCGACUACAUGAAGACGGAAUUGCUAGUAAUGGCGAGUCAGCAACAUCGCCGUGAAUACGUUCCCGGGCCUUGUACACACCGGCUAC